CUUCACAGUGACGCCGUGCCAACAAAAUUCGAUUUCCCUGAUCAUCUGCAAGCAAAGAGACCCAAGCUUCGUAAACCUCCGACUAAGAGAGAUUCAUUAGUCGAAAUGUCAUGUGCAGAAACUUCCCAUAAUUCUCCCGCUAUACAAGCUUCUGAAGUAAAAGCUGGGACAAGCAAAUGUUUUAGAUACAUAGGAGAUUUUAAGGAAGAUGACUUGGCUGUUCCUGGCAUAGCUAGUAAAAUGGCAAGUGUUGCAAAAAAGCAGCUGAAGAAGAAAGCCAGAAAAUAAGUAAUUUGCAGCGAUCAGCCCACAGGAUGAGGAAGAAAAUUUUAAAUUUGGAACCAUUAAUAAGUGACCUUCAAAAGAAUAAUCUUAUAAGUGAAUCCAUGGGUAAUUUGCUGAAGAUGCUGCCACCAGGUACCUCAGAGUUGUUAAAGCGUGCCAGCAGAGGUCAAACAAGAGAAAAGUACCCAGCAACUCUUCGGACCUUUGCUUUAACUCUUAAUUUCUACAGCAGCAAGGCUUAC
This is a long non-coding RNA of Schistocerca nitens (vagrant locust), 527 nucleotides long. RefSeq lists it as uncharacterized. The record is from RefSeq and is a predicted model, not a curated record. The transcript is spliced from 3 exons. Lineage: Eukaryota; Metazoa; Arthropoda; Insecta; Orthoptera; Acrididae.